CACAAAGGUUUCAAGUGACAGGAACAAUAUUAAUUCUUCUCUUCCGCUGGUGGAUGCAGGCAGUUAACAGCAGUGCCCUGAGAUGUUAAAACCUACAAAUCUACCAGCAACCUAGAAAGCAGAAACUGCACACAAGCUUCUAUGGAACCCAAUACAAAAUCCUUUACUUCUAUCUGAUAUUGAGGUGAGUGUUUCACAUGGAUUGCCUAAAAUUUGGUUCUUGCUGGCAUAACUGUCUCUCACUGGGUAAUUACCAACAGUUAAAUUACUGGAGGAAUCUCUUUCAACAUAUCUAACUGUAGCAGAUUCUCCACCAGGCUGGGAAGCAAAAAAGGCCCUCUAAUUUACAAAGAAUAACCCCAUUCAUGCCUCUCCUAAACUCACUCACUUUGUUACAGAACUAGCAGCAAACUGAAAUUCUAGACAUCAGCCUAAAAUAAGCAAUUGGUUCCAGAAAAACUGGAAUGUAUUUAAUGGAAAAACUGAGAUCUUUAAAAAGACAACCUUGUAGUGUGACCUUGAAAACUAUCAACCUUUUGGACUAUGCUGAGAAAGUUUAAGAAGCUAAGAAACCGGCGUCACUCACCUCAUUCUGGCCAGUUUAGAACUCCCUCUCCGGCACGCCAGCAUUUUCUCAUGGGAAGAGGGACUGUAAGGACCGCCUUGCCUACAUCUGCAUCCUCUCCAGCCUGCACAGAGUAACGUCUGGUGAAAGCAUGGAUGGAGGACCACGCUAUUGCUCUGCCGGUGUCCAUAACAGGGACAUGGGUCACAAAUGCUGCUGGGGUCAAUAGCACUCUGUUGGAGCAUGUCAUGAGUCUGUCAAGCAGUAUUACCCCUGGGGCAGCGGAAGGCAUGGUAAUGCAGCUCAUGAUCCAUUUUGAGAGGCUGAGUGGUGACUGGAUGAGCCCUGGUACAUUGUGUGUACAGGGUAAACAGCUGGGACAAAACUCGAAAGGCCUGAGUCCUAUUGAGGUAAAAAGCUAAUGGCUCAACUGAUGUUGAGGGGUGGAGUUUUCACUCAUCCCUAUGUAAAAGCAGUUGCGGGAAGAUCACUGGCAGGUAAAUUGAUUCGGAUGGAAGUUAGAAACCACUUUCAGAAGGAACUUGGAGAUGUGAUCUCAGCUGCACCUGAGCCUUGUUGAAAACCACGUAUAGUGGUGGAGGAAAGGCUGCCUUUGCUGCAGGAGUAACAUGUAUGAGCCAAUGGGUCAAUGACAGGAUUGGCCAUGCAGAGCUGCUGCAGAAUGAAGCUUUCUAACAAAAAGGUCAAGUCUCUUGGUGGUUUUGUCCUCAGGGGUAGCCUUAGCUCUCCCGUCUACUCUUCUCAUUCACUGUAGCUAUCACUAACGACCCAGGUGUCAGGUGUAAACAAACUUCUCAAGCCCUUGAGAUAGAACCUGAUAGUUUUUGUUCUAUUCUCUUAACAACCAGUGGAAUGGAGGAAAGACUUUGCCAGAUGGUUUUGGCUGGCUGCAUAAUGGUCUCAUUCACAGGCAGCGUCACCACCCUGACAUGGUGGGAUGGAGAAUGUCAAUGAGUUUGGGGAUAUUCUCUUCCACUUGCUCCAUGCGCAUAGCCAAGGAGGCUGCUCUUCGCCUGUGGAACUCCAGGUGGGGACGGUUCAGAAGGUCUAGAGCCCUGGUCCUGGUGAUGGAGAUCUCUGCUUUGCUGGGAAGGCUGAGGGAGCCCUUCGGGGAGGCAUUGCUGAGGAACUGCCCUUCAACGGCCAAGGGGUUCGAACACCAGCCUCUGGGCCGCCUCCAGGCACCUCCCUCAGCUCCUUUGUCCUGGUCUCGAAGCAACAACAAAUGGAACACUCACCCCCAAAGUGACCCUCACCCAGGCCCCGAGACAGCGCAAAUGAGGAUCACCGACGGCUUUCUGCAGCCCACAAAUGGCUUGAACCCUGGGGCCCUGUUAAGUGAAAAAAACAAAACAAGACCAAAAUAA
This is a long non-coding RNA of Mauremys mutica (yellowpond turtle), 1953 nucleotides long. RefSeq lists it as uncharacterized. Lineage: Eukaryota; Metazoa; Chordata; Testudines; Geoemydidae. The transcript is spliced from 3 exons. The record is from RefSeq and is a predicted model, not a curated record.